GACGAACGCUGGCGGCGUGCCUAACACAUGCAAGUCGAACGGGACCAGGGGCAACUCUGGUUCAGUGGCGGACGGGUGCGUAACACGUGAGGAACAUGACCUUCGGCGGGGGAGUAGCCGGCCCAACGGCCGGGUAAUACCGCGUACGACCUUUCGGGGACAUCCCUGGAUGGUGAAAGCAGCAAUGCGCCGAUGGAGUGCCUCGCGGCCUAUCAGCUAGUUGGUGAGGUAACGGCUCACCAAGGCGACGACGGGUAGCUGGUCUGAGAGGAUGGCCAGCCAC
RNAcentral lists this ribosomal RNA (283 nucleotides) under uncultured bacterium. RNAcentral describes it as "partial 16S ribosomal RNA". It matches the Rfam family "Bacterial small subunit ribosomal RNA", at positions 28 to 311 of the family's 1533-position model. The record is from RNAcentral.